This 253-nucleotide ribosomal RNA is filed under the name uncultured bacterium. RNAcentral's name for it is "partial 16S ribosomal RNA". It matches the Rfam family "Bacterial small subunit ribosomal RNA", at positions 524 to 776 of the family's 1533-position model. The record is from RNAcentral.
UACGGAGGGCGCAAGCCUUGUUCGGAAUCAUUGGGCGUAAAGCGCGUGUAGGCGGUCUGGUCAGUCGGGUGUGAAAUACCGGAGCUCAACUCCGGAACUGCAUUCGAUCCUGCCAGGCUAGAGUCCCGGAGAGGGUGGUGGAAUUCCCGGUGUAGAGGUGAAAUUCGUAGAUAUCGGGAGGAACACCAGCGGCGAAGGCGGCCACCUGGACGGUGACUGACGCUGAGACGCGAAAGCGUGUGGAGCAAACAGG